This 490-nucleotide ribosomal RNA is filed under the name uncultured bacterium. RNAcentral's name for it is "bacterial SSU rRNA". It matches the Rfam family "Bacterial small subunit ribosomal RNA", at positions 33 to 507 of the family's 1533-position model. The record is from RNAcentral.
ACGCUGGCGGCGUGCCUAAUACAUGCAAGUCGAGCGGACCAAAGGGAGCUUGCUCCUGGAGGUUAGCGGCGAACGGGUGAGUAACACGUGGGCAACCUGCCUGUAAGACUGGGAUAACAUCGAGAAAUCGGUGCUAAUACCGGAUAAUAAAAAGAACUGCAUGGUUCUUUUUGAAAGAUGGUUUCGGCUAUCACUUACAGAUGGGCCCGCGGCGCAUUAGCUAGUUGGUGAGGUAACGGCUCACCAAGGCGACGAUGCGUAGCCGACCUGAGAGGGUGAUCGGCCACACUGGGACUGAGACACGGCCCAGACUCCUACGGGAGGCAGCAGUAGGGAAUCUUCCGCAAUGGACGAAAGUCUGACGGAGCAACGCCGCGUGAGUGAUGAAGGUUUUCGGAUCGUAAAACUCUGUUGUUAGGGAAGAACAAGUGCCGUUCGAAAGGGCGGCACCUUGACGGUACCUAACGAGAAAGCCACGGCUAACUACGUG